This 201-nucleotide ribosomal RNA is filed under the name Klebsiella pneumoniae. RNAcentral describes it as "partial 23S ribosomal RNA". It matches the Rfam family "Bacterial large subunit ribosomal RNA", at positions 2742 to 2925 of the family's 2925-position model. Lineage: Bacteria; Pseudomonadati; Pseudomonadota; Gammaproteobacteria; Enterobacterales; Enterobacteriaceae. The record is from RNAcentral. RNAcentral also lists the same sequence under 1 other name.
CCGGUAGCUAAAUGCGGAAGAGAUAAGUGCUGAAAGCAUCUAAGCACGAAACUUGCCCCGAGAUGAGUUCUCCCUGAGACUUUAAGUCUCCUGAAGGAACGUUGAAGACGACGACGUUGAUAGGCCGGGUGUGUAAGCGCAGCGAUGCGUUGAGCUAACCGGUACUAAUGAACCGUGAGGCUUAACCUUACAACGCCGAAG